UUUAAUUUCAAAUAUUUUUAUGAAAAAUAAAGUAAUAUUACUUGCCAAAAUGUGUCCACUGGUAAAUUAAUUAAAUCUUCAUUUGGUUGUGUUGCAAAAGCUAUUGGCAAACUAUCUUCUCCACUGUUCAUCGAUUUGCUGGACUAAAAUGUUAUUAUCAACUAAUCUUGAUACAACUUUAAUCAGUAGAAUCAAAAUUGGACAUGUUUCUUGAUAAGCUAAUUAAAG
Cinara cedri is the source of this 228-nucleotide non-coding RNA. Lineage: Eukaryota; Metazoa; Arthropoda; Insecta; Hemiptera; Aphididae. The record is from the annotation of a GenBank genome assembly.